AGAGCGCUGAGUCUGAGAUGAGGCCACAGAAAGCAGACAGCGCCAAGAACAUGGCCACGGUCAGAGAUGCCAACGCCCAGCCACAUUCCUCCAGUGAUCAGUUCUUCUGAUCAAUCCUGUUUGAACCAGGACAUCAGCUCUUCUUGGGUCUGGAGCCUGCCAGCCUUUGGAUGGGAACCACACCAACACAAUCCUGGUUAUCAGGCCUUUGUACUUAGACUGGAAUGAAACCACCAGCUCUUUUGGGUCUCCAGCUUGCUGACUCACCCUGUAGUAGUUGCAACUUGCCUUCUUCCAUAAUCACAUAAGCCAAUUCCUUAAAAUCAAUCAACCAACCAAUCAAUCAAUCAAUCAAUUUUAUUGAUUUAUUUCCAUGGAGAACCCUAAUACAGAAUAUUGUUAUGAUUGGUUCAAAGUGCUGUACAACAGAAAUAUAAUGUGAGUCAUUUGUGUAAUUCCAAGUCUUCUAGUAGCCACAUUAAAAAUAAAGAUGAAAUCACUUGUGGUAAUAUAUUUUAUUUAACCCAAGCUAUUCAAAACAUUUACUGUGAC
This is a long non-coding RNA of Lutra lutra (Eurasian river otter), 552 nucleotides long. RefSeq lists it as uncharacterized. The record is from RefSeq and is a predicted model, not a curated record. NCBI's taxonomy places the organism in Eukaryota, Metazoa, Chordata, Mammalia, Carnivora, Mustelidae. The transcript has 2 exons.